This 344-nucleotide ribosomal RNA is filed under the name uncultured bacterium. RNAcentral's name for it is "partial 16S ribosomal RNA". It matches the Rfam family "Bacterial small subunit ribosomal RNA", at positions 338 to 696 of the family's 1533-position model. The record is from RNAcentral.
CCUACGGGAGGCAGCAGUGGGGAAUAUUGGGCAAUGGGCGCAAGCCUGACCCAGCAACGCCGCGUGAAGGAUGACGGCUCUCGGGUUUUAAACUUCUUUUCUUAGGGACGUAGAAAGUGACGGUACCUCAGGAAUAAGCCACGGCUAACUACGUGCCAGCAGCCGCGGUAAUACGUAGGGGGCAAGCGUUAUCCGGAUUUAUUGGGUGUAAAGGGCGUGUAGGCGGGAAAGCAAGUCAGAUGUGAAAACUCAGGGCUCAACCCUGGGCCUGCAUUUGAAACUGUUUUUCUUGAGUGCGUGGGAGGCAAUCGGAAUUCGGUGUGUAGCGGUGAAAUGCGUAGAUA